ACUCCUACGGGAGGCAGCAGUGGGGAAUAUUGCACAAUGGGCGCAAGCCUGAUGCAGCCAUGCCGCGUGUAUGAAGAAGGCCUUCGGGUUGUAAAGUACUUUCAGCAGUGAGGAGGUGGUAUGUAUAGCAUACUCAUUUGACGUUAGCUGCAGAAGAAGCGAACCGCUAACUCCGUGCCAGCAGCCGCGGUAAUACGGAGGGUGCGAGCGUUAAUCGGAAUUACUGGGCGUAAAGCGCAUGCAGGUGGUUUGUUAAGUCAGAUGUGAAAGCCCGGGGCUCAACCUGCAGG
This 290-nucleotide ribosomal RNA is filed under the name uncultured bacterium. RNAcentral describes it as "partial 16S ribosomal RNA". It matches the Rfam family "Bacterial small subunit ribosomal RNA", at positions 335 to 619 of the family's 1533-position model. The record is from RNAcentral.